GCGAUUCCGGCAACGGAUGGGCAUGCGUGACAUUAGCUAGUUGGCGGGGCAACGGCCCACCAAGGCGACGAUGUCUAGGGGUUCUGAGAGGAAGGUCCCCCACACUGGUACUGAAACACGGACCAGACUCCUACGGGAGGCAGCAGUGAGGAAUAUUGGUCAAUGGGCGCGAGCCUGAACCAGCCAAGUCGCGUGAGGGAUGACGGCCCUACGGGUUGUAAACCUCUUUUGUCGGGGAGCAAAUUCCGCCACGUGUGGCGGAGUCGAGAGUACCCGAAGAAAAAGCAUCGGCUAACUCCGUGCCAGCAGCCGCGGUAAUACGGAGGAUGCGAGCGUUAUCCGGAUUUAUUGGGUUUAAAGGGUGCGUAGGCGGACUGUCAAGUCAGCGGUAGAAUACGGGGGCUCAACCUCCGCCCGCCGUUGAAACUGACGGUCUUGAGUGGGCGAGAAGUAUGCGGAAUGCGUGGUGUAGCGGUGAAAUGCAUAGAUAUCACGCAGAACUCCGAUUGCGAAGGCAGCAUACCGGCGCCCAACUGACGCUGAAGCACGAAAGCGUGGGUAUCGAACAGGAUUAGAUACCCUGGUAGUCCACGCAGUAAACGAU
RNAcentral lists this ribosomal RNA (604 nucleotides) under uncultured bacterium. RNAcentral describes it as "bacterial SSU rRNA". It matches the Rfam family "Bacterial small subunit ribosomal RNA", at positions 209 to 810 of the family's 1533-position model. The record is from RNAcentral.